CGGGAACGGGCAAGCUCUUAAGAUAGAAGCGGUACGGCCCUUACUCUCUUCCUUCAUAGAAUUCAGGAAGAGCGGGCCAGGAAAGCUACACUCUACUUUAUUUACAAACCAUUUUCUCACAGCAUCUGGAUCACGACAUCAUUAAACCUGUAAAACUAAAUCCUGUACUCGAGCUUACUUGAAUUUCCAUAGCAACGAUAUACUAUAGGGUAUAAACCAUAACAAAUUGGCUGUUUCCAUUGUUAAAAGAAAGAAAUGAGAUUAGAAAUCAACUCAAUUGUUAAUAUCACUUUGCAUUAACAGCUUCACCACCAAGCCCAUGUCGACAUUUAAAAAAUUAGACCUUCAAAAUUUUCUAGUACACAAUUUCUACGAGCUUGAGUAUUAUCAAGUGAACAAAUGAUAACUACAAGAAGUAUGCUUAUGACAGAGUAGUAAGGAACUCAAUACUGUAUGAAUACCAGAGCAGGAGCAUUAGAUUUCCAGUUCGGUCAUGCAUGCACCCUGUUAGAUGACUACUACCUCCUAAACAUUCUUCUGAAGAGACCACGCUUACGUGCGUUCUUGAGAUCUUUAUCUGAAAAAUUAGAGGGAAAAAAGGCAAUAUAUAAGCAAAAUAGUGUAAUGAUCUGCAUGUCCACUGGAAACGAACAAAUUUCAUUAGAAAAAUCACAUCCAUAUGUCUGAAUCUGCUCGUCACAUGACAAAAGACAUAAUACUGCCAGAAGCUUGAGUAGUUACCAGGAGAACUCAAAUGCGGGAGGUCAUGAUAUCAUAUUUCUCAUCUUUGGCUAAGCUUAAAAAUAAGUAAAAGAAUUGCAACUUUUUCUUUCCAAACAUUUUUGAGCAACUUAACUUUUGUCUUGCUUUCAAGUAAGAAAUAUUACUUAUUCAGAACUCGAUAGUGACAAGAUGAAGUAACUUGCCUGUUUUCACUUUUGAUGAUUUCGUUUGUUUUAAAAUUAUUUACUUGCAAGUAAACAAAACUUAGACAAACAUGCUCUUACAUUGAGUACACAACACCAACGACAAUAGUCAAAUGGAGACGUGAUAGUUUUAAUGCUUGGUUUGAUAGUUUUAAUGCUUGGUUUGAUAGUGAUUAUGAGUUGU
Molecule: long non-coding RNA, 1110 nt
Filed under: Olea europaea (common olive)
Lineage: Eukaryota; Viridiplantae; Streptophyta; Magnoliopsida; Lamiales; Oleaceae
Description: long non-coding RNA (OEUR_LNC012956)
Source: RNAcentral